GACGAACGCUGGCGGCGUGCCUAAUACAUGCAAGUCGAGCGCUGAAGGAUGGUACUUGUACCAACUGGAUGAGCAGCGAACGGGUGAGUAACGCGUGGGGAAUCUGCUUUUGAGUGGGGGACAAUAUUGGGAAACGAAUGACACUACUACAUAAAACCUUUAAAGACAGGAUUCAAGUUUGAAAGAUGCAUUUGCAUAAUUAAAAAACGAUCCCGCGUUGUAUUAGCUAGUUGGGGAGGUAAAGGCGCACCAAGGCGAUGAUACAUAGCCUAACUGAGAGGGUGAUCGGCCACAAUGGGACUGAGACACGGCCCAAACGCCUACGGGAGGCAGCAGUAGGGAAUCUUCGGCAAUAGACGAGAGUCUGACCGAGCAACGCCGCGGGAGUGAAGAAGGUUGUCGGAUCGUAAAACUCUGUUGGUAGGGAAGAAAGUUGGUGAGAGUGGAAAGCUCAUCAAGUGACGGUAACUACACAGAAAGGGACGGCUAACUACGUG
Molecule: ribosomal RNA, 497 nt
Filed under: uncultured bacterium
Lineage: Bacteria
Description: partial 16S ribosomal RNA
Rfam family: Bacterial small subunit ribosomal RNA
Source: RNAcentral